Oncorhynchus mykiss (rainbow trout) is the source of this 1502-nucleotide non-coding RNA. The record is from RefSeq and is a predicted model, not a curated record. Lineage: Eukaryota; Metazoa; Chordata; Actinopteri; Salmoniformes; Salmonidae.
GGCCCUUAUCCAAUCCCACUGACCCCACUGUUGGGAACAGGCUGUCUGGACCCCUUUCAGAGAGCCAACAGGAUAUGAACCCAGUUCUACCGAGGGAGAAACCAACAUCUUGACCAUUACACCAAGAGAACAUUCCUUAUUGGACCGAGGGCCGACACUGAUUUUGACGUCUCAGGCGGACUACCUCAUCACAUAACCUUGAGUAACCACGGCUGACCCAUGUCCUCUAUACAUUCCUGUCACUUUCUCUCAAUUAAAUUACAUUUAAUUCAAAGGAGGGGGUGACGAGGGCCUCAGCCAGCCUCAGUAGGAUGUACUGGGGAGCCAGCUGGAUGCAGGCCAUGGAGGACACCUGGAGCACCUUCCCUGACAGGGCCUGCUCCGUUAGAGGAUAGCCCUUCCUGUGGACCUCAGACAGGCCCUCCACCAGGACAGACAGGCCCGCUACCAGGACAGACAGGGACGCACUCAUGACCCAGUGCUGGGAGAGGAGAGGAGAGGAGAGGAGACAUGGAGAGAGACAUGGAGAGAGACAUUAACAUUGACUGAGUCAUUGAUGAGGAUGAUAUUUGUUGUUCAUGUGUGUGCGUGCCUGUGUGUGCGUGCUUACUGAUGACUCUGGCGGGGGAGAAGGGUGUUUUCUCCAUGGACAGGUUGCAGGAGGUGACACACUCUACUUUAUGGAGCAGAAAUGAACAUUAGAUUUGCCUUUUUUUUUACUCACAACAUCUGAAAAAUGUGGUACUUGUACUUUCCACUGAAAUGAAAAAUGUAAAUAUCUCAUGUGAAGCAUGUCAGUGAAGAGGCCUGAUGUUCUCCAUUACAUUGACCUGACUGAGUGAUGCAGGCGCGGUACAGUAUCUGCAAGCCGUACAGGGGGAAGAGCCUUGCCAGGACCUUGACGUUCUCCACGUGUGUCUCUUCAGAGAGUUCAGGAACACCCCAAAGUGGUCAACAGGGAACUGCCUGCACAACAAACACAUCAAUACUGGAAUAGACCACAACAACCACAUCAAUACUAGAAUAGACCACAACAACCACAUCAAUACUAGAAUAGACCACAUCAACCACAUCAAUACUAGACUAGACCACAUCAAUACUAGAAUAGACCACAACAACCACAUCAAUACUAGAAUAGACCACAACAACCACAUCAAUACUAGAAUAGACCACAACAACCACAUCAAUACUAGAAUAGACCACAACAACCACAUCUAUACUAGAAUAGACCACAACAACCACAUCAAUACUAGAAUAGACCACAACAACCACAUCUAUACUAGAAUAGACCACAACAACCACAUCAAUACUAGAAUAGACCACUUAAACCUAGGUAUAUACAUACACUGUAACACAAAGGUGAAACAUAGUCUGUGUGAAGUUGAGGUUGUGUUACCUUUUUUGGGCCUGAAGUUGAGGUUGUGUUACCUUUCUUGGGCCUGAAGGUGAGGUUGAGGUUGUGUUACCUUUCUUGGACCUCUAAUGAGGUUGUUGUAGACCAU